GACGAACGCUGGCGGCGUGCUUAACACAUGCAAGUCGAACGGAAAGGCCCUGCUUUUGUGGGGUGCUCGAGUGGCGAACGGGUGAGUAACACGUGAGUAACCUGCCCUUGACUUUGGGAUAACUUCAGGAAACUGGGGCUAAUACCGGAUAGGAGCUCCUGCUGCAUGGUGGGGGUUGGAAAGUUUCGGCGGUUGGGGAUGGACUCGCGGCUUAUCAGCUUGUUGGUGGGGUAGUGGCUUACCAAGGCUUUGACGGGUAGCCGGCCUGAGAGGGUGACCGGCCACAUUGGGACUGAGAUACGGCCCAGACUCCUACGGGAGGCAGCAGUGGGGAAUAUUGCACAAUGGGCGGAAGCCUGAUGCAGCAACGCCGCGUGCGGGAUGACGGCCUUCGGGUUGUAAACCGCUUUCGCCUGUGACGAAGCGUGAGUGACGGUAAUGGGUAAAGAAGCACCGGCUAACUACGUGCCAGCAGCCGCGGUGAUACGUAGGGUGCGAGCGUUGUCCGGAUUUAUUGGGCGUAAAGGGCUCGUAGGUGGUUGAUCGCGUCGGAAGUGUAAUCUUGGGGCUUAACCCCUGAGCGUGCUUUCGAUACGGGUUGACUUGAGGAAGGUAGGGGAGAAUGGAAUUCCUGGUGGAGCGGUGGAAUGCGCAGAUAUCAGGAGGAACACCAGUGGCGAAGGCGGUUCUCUGGGCCUUUCCUGACGCUGAGGAGCGAAAGCGUGGGGAGCGAACAGGCUUAGAUACCCUGGUAGUCCACGCUGUAAACGGUGGGUACUAGGUGUGGGGUCCAUUCCACGGGUUCCGUGCCGUAGCUAACGCUUUAAGUACCCCGCCUGGGGAGUACGGCCGCAAGGCUAAAACUCAAAGGAAUUGACGGGGCCCCGCACAAGCGGCGGAGCAUGCGGAUUAAUUCGAUGCAACGCGUAGAACCUUACCUGGGUUUGACAUGGAUCGGGAGUGCUCAGAGACGGGUGUGCCUCUUUUGGGGUCGGUUCACAGGUGGUGCAUGCCUGUCGUCAGCUCGUGUCGUGAGAUGUUGGGUUAAGUCCCGCAACGAGCGCAACCCUUGUUCACUGUUGCCAGCACGUUAUGGUGGGGACUCAGUGGAGACCGCCGGGGUCAACUCGGAGGAAGGUGGGGAUGACGUCAAGUCAUCAUGCCCCUUAUGUCCAGGGCUUCACGCAUGCUACAAUGGCUGGUACAGAGAGUGGCGAGCCUGUGAGGGCGAGCGAAUCUCGGAAAGCCGGUCUCAGUUCGGAUUGGGGUCUGCAACUCGACCUCAUGAAGUCGGAGUCGCUAGUAAUCGCAGAUCAGCAACGCUGCGGUGAAUACGUUCCCGGG
This 1344-nucleotide ribosomal RNA is filed under the name uncultured bacterium. RNAcentral describes it as "16S ribosomal RNA". It matches the Rfam family "Bacterial small subunit ribosomal RNA", at positions 28 to 1378 of the family's 1533-position model. The record is from RNAcentral.